Molecule: long non-coding RNA, 210 nt
Filed under: Elaeis guineensis (African oil palm)
Lineage: Eukaryota; Viridiplantae; Streptophyta; Magnoliopsida; Arecales; Arecaceae
Description: long non-coding RNA (EGUI_LNC038772)
Source: RNAcentral
UCUCCAUACCUUGGAUCUUAUGGAUGUCCAGGAUUCUGAUCGUAGCCAUACACGCGUCCGGCCUCUGCUGGUAUCCACACGAAAAUAUCUGAUCGGAGCACUGAGAUCAUCGGUAUGCUAGCACCUUGUAGAUCUCACUCUUCAUCAUUGGAUCUAAAUCUCUUCUUCUAGAUCUUGAAGAAGGAGAUUGCUGCACAAACUCUUUCGCGU